AACUCUCCGAAAGGAGUGCUAAUACCAGAUAUUUUAUAAUUUUCUAUGAUAAUUAUAACAAAGGUAGCCGCAAGGCUUCUGCUUUAAGAUGAGUCCGCGUCCUAUUAGCUUGUUGGUAGGGUAAUGGCCUACCAAGGCUAUGAUGGGUAGCCGGUCUGAGAGGACGGACGGCCACACUGGGACUGAGAUACGGCCCAGACUCCUACGGGAGGCAGCAGUAGGGAAUAUUGCGCAAUGGGCGAAAGCCUGACGCAGCGACACCGUGUGUAGGAUGAAAAUCUUCGGAUUGUAAACUACUGUCAGUUGAAGACGAAGGCAGUAGAGUUAAGAGCUCGAAUGUUGACGGUAUUCAAUUAGGAAGUCUCGGCUAACUCCGUGCCAGCAGCCGCGGUAAGACGGAGGAGGCAAGCAUUGUCCGGAAUUAUUGGGCGUAAAGAACACGUAGGCGGUUUAUCAAGUCAUAUGUGAAAACCUUGGGCUUAACUUAAGGAUUGCAUACGAUACUGGUAAACUAGAGUAUAGUAGAGGAAAGCGGAAUUCCUGGUGUAGCGGUGAAAUGCGCAGAUAUCAGGAAGAACACCAGUGGCGAAAGCGGCUUUCUGGACUGUUACUGACGCUGAGGUGUGAAAGCUAGGGGAGCGAACAGGAUUAGAUACCCUGGUAGUCCUAGCCGUAAACGAUG
RNAcentral lists this ribosomal RNA (682 nucleotides) under uncultured Actinomycetes bacterium. RNAcentral's name for it is "bacterial SSU rRNA". It matches the Rfam family "Bacterial small subunit ribosomal RNA", at positions 145 to 811 of the family's 1533-position model. The record is from RNAcentral. Lineage: Bacteria; Bacillati; Actinomycetota; Actinomycetes.